Homo sapiens (human) is the source of this 453-nucleotide long non-coding RNA. Lineage: Eukaryota; Metazoa; Chordata; Mammalia; Primates; Hominidae. The record is from Ensembl.
CACGGAUAUUUAGUUUUAUUCCACAUUUAAUGUACGUAAAAGGGUGUUUUUGUAAAUGCAAAGAUUAAAUCAGACAGCCUCUGAAUUGUAGUCUUGAAAACAUUAGCAAGUUCUUUUAGGUCCAGGGUAGAUACUGCAGUUCACUUAGCCAACUUUCUGCAUUGAGACAUCCUUGCCAGGGAUCCUGUCAGUUAUGCGAAGAUGCGGCACGAGAUAAUUCCUCUUGCUGUGAUGGUUCGUCCUCAAUGACAGGUCCCUUAUAGUAUUUAGGUACAACAAGGUCUUUUGUGCUUGGAAUGCCCUUGAAAAAGCUGCCUCACCUGUUUGUGAAGGGAACCCCAAAGAGAAAGGGAGAGGAAGGGCUGGGUGCAGAAGGGCCAAGACACAGAACCCAGGUCUGAGCUACACCUCCAACUUGCUUUCUGCUGCAACCACCUUUUCCACCUUCUUUCU